RNAcentral lists this small RNA (77 nucleotides) under Xanthomonas arboricola pv. celebensis. RNAcentral's name for it is "sX9". It matches the Rfam family "Xanthomonas sRNA sX9". Lineage: Bacteria; Pseudomonadati; Pseudomonadota; Gammaproteobacteria; Lysobacterales; Lysobacteraceae. The record is from RNAcentral.
AUGAACCACGCCUGGGCUACGGUUCCGGGCGCGCCGUCCGCACCCACCUGACGGCCACUCGCUGCGUGUUGUGGGUC